UAUAAAGCCAUAUGAUGAAUUCAAUGAUAGGACAGAAAAACAUUUUUAUGUUGAUAAACAAUCGUAGCUGACAUUAUUUAAAUUACUGAUGAGCUUA
Molecule: non-coding RNA, 97 nt
Organism: Plasmodium ovale wallikeri
Lineage: Eukaryota; Apicomplexa; Aconoidasida; Haemosporida; Plasmodiidae
Source: Rfam